Non-coding RNA from Phasianus colchicus (ring-necked pheasant), 4381 nucleotides. The record is from RefSeq and is a predicted model, not a curated record. Lineage: Eukaryota; Metazoa; Chordata; Aves; Galliformes; Phasianidae.
UACUUCCUGUAGAAAUGCCCAAGUGAAUCUACAAUUCAGUGCUUCCUGUACAAAAGGAAGUCACUGUCUGAAGUUAGACAGCAAAAUCUUAUUCUCAUGACCAAAAUAAAGCUUUGCUUUCUCUGUAAAUACAGCAUAUUUGAAUUCAGAUAUGCAAUCCAACUGCAGCUGACCUUCAGUAUGACAUUCACUGCAGUAGUGCUGCUUAUAUCGUCUGAAUUCAGCCUGACUGCUUUACGUCAUGUUUUGACAAUGUCCCAUCAGAUGUGCAAGGAAGAUCUUAAUUUCCUUUUAUGUGUGGAUCUCAUGAAAGGCAGAAGGAUACAAGCUUCUGGGGAUGUGACAUAUUACUGGUUUUCUUAGUAGAAUUGUACCAGUCUGUGUCUGACCUUGUGGUUCUCUCUCAUUUCCACUGCUUGCGUUCCCCUUGAUGGAUGAAAUUCCCUUUUCUAAACUGCCUCUCACCUUUGCUGCUUUUUACAAGGACUGGAAGUUGCUGCUUCAGGAAACAGCAAAUGUCAGACACUGUAAGCCUGAAUGCUUCCUUCCUGCCUUCUCUUGGGAUUUUCCAGCAUCAUGGACUCAUGGGGACAGCAACUGAUGAGCUACAUGUCCCUCCGCUCACUCAUCCAUGAGGCAUGUGAGAGAAGUCAUCUUCCGUGACAAAACUAAGGACAGGCUAAGCUAAAAGAGAACACCACGUAAAUUAUGGGCAGUAGUCACAGCCUGCUAUUCAACUUCAGCACUGUAAUUUUUGUUUACUGUCCAGAUUAUGGUCAUACCAACCAGAGGCAACAGCAGCUGAGGUCAGACCUGCAGAACUGCAAUCAGAGGAAGUGCCAGGAUGCAGUGUACCUCCCUCCUGAAAGACAUGUUCAUGUAAGGAGACACUUACAGUUUUGGAGUACUAUCUUGGGAGAACCUAAGCAGACAGAAACUUUGUAAAGGAGAUAGCACUUAAUGCAUGCAAAGGUUCAGAAGUAUUCAUACUGUAGACAGGCAUACACAAUUCAGAGAUUACCCAGGCUCUGACAGUAGAAGACCAUUUUGUACUCUUCCCUGCAAAGAAAACAGUUAGCAUUAGGACUCACCUCUGGCACUUCAGCACAGGUCACGAACUAUGCACCUUGAAAACCAGCAACAGCUCAGUGUGAAGUCAAACCAGGAAGAAGAGAUCUCACGCUGAUCGUUUUUUGAAAUCAUGGUUCUGCUGACCUGCAAAGGAAAAAUAUGGGAUCCUUCAACAGACCAGAAUUGCUGAUGUGGAAGAGAACCACUGACAUGGUGUUGUGCUUGUAUGGAAGGAUCAGAUAACCAGAGUAAAACAGAUCAUCAUUUAUUUGUGGGAAUUAUUUAUAGAAUUUUAUGAAGGAAUCCUUGAUUAUUGAAACUUAAUUACCAACUUUCAGAAAUGAUUCUGUUCCAUUCUGCUACUGAACAUUUUUAUAACUCUGAUGUACCAGCUGGUGGACCAUGUUAAUCUGUCAUUAUUAUUAUUAAUAAUAUUAUUUUUGACAUAAAAACAGUUUUGGCUCUCACUUUUCUUGAAACAGCUUCUUAGAUGAGAAUUUCAUUUGAAGCCAGACUUCUCCCAGUCUUAAUUGUUAAUUAGGGAACUGGCACGGAACAAGUGGGAGCAGAAGUUAUCUGCUUUUAGACAGACUUUGUUCUUGUAUUUGGCUUUCCAACUUAAGUAUCUGUAAUAGGAUGUGAUCUUACAGAGUUGCUGAUCCAUUACCAUUGUGUUUACCCAGAUUUUUGUCAAGAUAAUCCAAGAAGACAGUUAGUAACCAAUUAUAAAACACAGGCAAAUCUGUUAUUUCAUGUUCAAAUGAGCCUGAGUUUAAUUCUUUAAGUAUGUUAUUUAAUAAUUAACUCUAACUCAUAAUCAGAUUUUUUUGACACCUACUCAACUGAAAUCAGUGCACGAGUUGAGGUUUUGUAUGGAUACCUUGGCUAAAAGCAUUGUCAUAAACUAACUGGGCCACUGCCAAAACCUUGUUAUUAACAAACUUAAACUAAAGCAGGCUUAUGCCCCAAUGUAGGCAAAUGCAAAGACUUCAUCAUAAACCUCUUGUGCGAUACAAGCAUUUAAACUUUGGGUUUGUUGACAGUUGCAGCUCUUGGGAAUCUUUCUGUGAUGUGAUAUUUUAGAGAGAUGCUUUUUGAUUGAAAUGAAGCUGCUUCUGAUAUGAAAAAUUUUGAUGCAGAACAGGGAUGCGGUGACCUGAAAUAAGCAUUCAUUUUGUCAUACCAAACAUGCACACUCUUAAGAGGCCACAGUAAGUUGGCGAUGUAAUAAAGACAUCGAUGUAGAUAUGUUGAUCACUGUUGUGAAAUAGCAAACUGCUUAAAGCUUAAGUGUAUUUUGUUACACUUGUAUGCCAACCACAUUCAUUAAAACAGAUUUCUAUUGUCCUUAUCCCUCUUUUCCGUAGUUCUUUUUAUAUCACAAAAUGUAGAAUUAGCAACACUGAGCAAGAGCUCUACAGAUCUAUUAAAGGAAAAUACCAGAAGUUGGCAGGUUUUUUUUGUAUUUCUUUUUGUAUUUCUUUUUCCUUGACUUUAUCAGUAUGUAUUCUUCUUCUUGGAGCUGCUCACAGCCAUCUUUUGCUGACUCGUACAAAGACGACCAUCCCUUGCCCCUUGCUCCUUUCUGCUAUCUAUACAGCACUCUUAUCUCAGCUGGGAUACUUCCUGUAAUGAAAGAACUCCUGCACUAGAAUUUUUUGAAGUUAAUUUGUAGACAAUUAAUCUGAGGUGCUGGAAUGGAGCUUCUGAGAGAUUAGUCUUUCCAGUAGAGAACAAAACAAAGCUAUAAAUACCACUCAAUAGUUGUCGCCAACAUGUAUCAAAAUAGUCCCAGACAACAGAGGAAGACAAGUGCAUGCUCACAGAGUACUCAUUUCCAAAACUUUAAAAAUAAUGCAUUAAUGGACUAAUAGUGUACACAAAAGAAUUUUUACACUGAUUAGUCAAAAAUGUAGAGCUGGGUAGUUGGAUUUGAUGACCUUUAAGAGUCCCUUCCAAAUGAUUAUAUGGUUCUGUAAUUACACAAGCUGAAGCUAACCAAACCUUAAAUAUUUACAUGAUAUCAUUUCAAUUCUGCAUGAUCUUGCAAACACUUUCAUGCUACCGCAGCUUCAGUCACUUGUGCUAUCCACGUGAGGUUAUGUACAUAUAUAAAUACUUGUGGGACUGGUUUGUUAGGAAAAGACCUAGCCAUCUUCAAGGCUGGCAUAGAGAAUUCAAGUUUCUUCACUGCCAAUUAUUUGAUAAUGAUGACAUACAUCCAUUAAGUAUGCUUUCCCCUAGCAAGUGCUUUCCCCUUUUCCUAAGACUGUUGCUUUUUUUUUUUUUUUUUUCAUGCAUGAAAAACACUUUUUUCCUUCUUUUUCUCCUACCCUCUCUGCCUCCUUUGUAAAAUAUUAUUCUGGAGCUCAAAAGCACUUAGUGGAGUUUCUGGUUUUUUUCUUCAUCAAAAGAAAUAAACCCCUGCUUCCCUCACUUGGCACAGCCUUUAGUGAGGAUAUGGUUGACUUGACAGCUGGUAUGUCAGCAAAGUUAAACAAAACUCAUGGAUUUUGAAGGUAAGUUCACCAUAAAUUAAGCUGCCUGAUGAGGUCUGCAGAGAACAUAUUUAAUGAGUUGUGUUAUAUUAAAGGUGCAGUGUAGCUGCAAGAGUAUGUUAACUGUAAAUGCAGUGUGUGUUUAAAAAAAUGGGCUGCUGAUCACUGAAGAACUGCAUUUUUCUUAAUCCCAGUGUGAGAAAAAUGGUGGAUAAGAAGUUCAGACGUAAUACUUCUGGUUCUUGCGUUGAUAGGAAAUAAUUUGUGAUGGGUAUUUUGCUGUUUCCUGCCUUUAUUUCUCUUCUUCCAAAGAUACAUCCCAGGUAAUAUUUAGAGAUCUUUAUCCCCAAACUGCAGUCUGCACAGGUCAUUACAGUUGGCUUUUCUUGUUCCACAGAAGUAAGAGAUGCAGAGGACAAGAGGUAAUGGCCUUAAGUUGUGCCAUGGGAGAUUCAGGUUGGAUAUUAGGAAAAGGAAUGUGGGCAUGGGGGGGUGGGCUGGGUUUGGACUUAGUGGUCUUAGAGGUCUUUUCCAACCUUCUUAAUGAUUUAUGGUCAGUUGAAGGAACUGUGUACUCUUCCAACCAGGCUGAAUUAAAUGGCAGUCAGUGAUUUAGAAUAAAAACUUCACUCUUUGAAAUAUGAUAACCUUCCACAGUAUUUCGACACAUUUCCAACUGUUGGUCUUGAACUUUCCACAUAGCAACAAUACCCACAUGAGCAGAAAACACAGCUGAGUUUUCCCGUCAGAAGUAAUCUGGCAGUACUCCAGAAAGGUCUGUACAAUUUGUUCGUUCUUUAGGUUUCAGAGAA